Molecule: ribosomal RNA, 290 nt
Filed under: uncultured bacterium
Lineage: Bacteria
Description: partial 16S ribosomal RNA
Rfam family: Bacterial small subunit ribosomal RNA
Source: RNAcentral
AGGGCCCUACGGGGGGCAGCAGUGAGGAAUAUUGGUCAAUGGACGGAAGUCUGAACCAGCCAUGCCGCGUGCAGGAAGACGGCUCUAUGAGUUGUAAACUGCUUUUGUACAAGGGUAAACCUGAAUACGUGUAUUCAGCUGAAAGUACUGUACGAAUAAGGAUCGGCUAACUCCGUGCCAGCAGCCGCGGUAAUACGGAGGAUCCAAGCGUUAUCCGGAUUUAUUGGGCUUAAAGGGAGCGUAGGCGGAUUGAUAAGUUAGAGGUGAAAGGUCCGAGCUCAACUCGGUAA